GGCGUGCGGAGGCGCUGCGGGCCGGGGCGGCCCGGCCAGGCCCGGUUGGGCUCAGCUCAGCUCAGCCCGCGGCGGCUGCGGGUCGGGCUGGCCCGGCCGGUGAGGGAGAAGCAGAAGUUUUAACUAUCUUCCCAUGGCAUCUGACUUUUCGAGGAGGAGGAGAAUUCACUCAAGAGCAGAAGCAAUGAGGUACACAGUGGGGAAAAUGAAUCCAGCAGUCUAUCCUACCCUGUAUCUGCCUGAGAACAGAAAGAGACCUCAUACAAAGCCAGAAUGCAUCUGGAUUUGCAGCUCUUUUUAACCAUAUUAAGUCCUAUUCAGACUUAAUGUGAGACUGGCCCAAGCAAUGCUGAAGGAGGGAAGAGCAGUGUUGGAAGGCAGAAGCUAUUUCAAAACAGGAUUCUUCUUUUGUCUGUGACACCCAAAGAUGAAGACUUUAUAAACUUCAUUAGAUCCUGCCAUCAAUGACUGGACCUCCUUGAAGUCUUCUUACGAGUUACUGCCAAGAGGAGAAGGAUAACAAGAAGGAGAAGUGCUUAAGUGGUUUUAAUGACAGUUAAUUUCAUCUGUUUACCAAAUGACAGGUUGUUUUUUCCUCAAAACUCGGUUGUCAUGACAAGAUGCUUUUGGAAGUCAUCUUUGUAAAAUAAAACUGACACUUUUUAGGCUAUAAAGAACUGUUGUAUUUUUCUAUACAAUGUUGUCAUUAUGGUAAACCACUGGAAGGUCUUUAUUUUUGAAGUAAUUUAACUUGCAUACUUCAAUUAUUUAAAUGUCUGUUGAAUACCAUGUGAAAAGUUUCUUGCCAGAGUUCCUUUAUUCAAUGAAGUAGUUGUUCUUACAAUGCUCAAUUUAUUAUUGUCUAAAUUACUGUUGCCUUAGCCUCCUGCAAAAAUGUUUCUUUUUAGUAAUUCUUAAACAAAUAAGGAAUGAAUGAGGUUUUGUCCCUUUCGUGUUUUGAUCAGUGUAUUUUUCUUUGCAGUGAAAGAGUCUUCAGUUUUCAGAGUGACACUACUACAAAGAAAGCUGUGAAAGAAGGUGAAAAUAAGGUCUGAAGAGUGGAGAGAAGCUUUGUUUUUCAUUGCUGAAGGCUCACUGCCCUCUAAGUCUGCUGAUGCUCAUGCACAUGGACCAUCUCCUGCCUGCUAAUUAGGCCUCUCCAAAGUGCUCUCUAGAAACGUGCUGGAGAAGUUUUUUUUCAAAAAAACACCAUAAAUAAGGAAAUGGUACGUAUGUAACUAUUAUACACUGCUCAUUUGGCAGACUAUAAUUUAAUAGAACAACAAUGAUCAGACUAGUAUAUCAGUUAAUUUUCAAAACAUUUUAUUCCACACAAAUUAGCUCAGGUCCUGGAGGGCAAAAUGACAAGAGGUUACUCGUAUACUAUGUAUUUAAUUAAUUGAAAAAUGCUCAAAUUGCUUUUACAGUUGUUAUUAAAAAGUAGAAUCAGUGUUGCCAGUGCUCAACCAUAAUUAGAACCCUGGAGAAUUAAAUAUUUAGCAUUAGUAAUGUAACAGCACUUAGGACACAAAUUUCUAUUUUUGUAAUGAAAGCAAUACAGUGUAAGUGCAAAUGGCUGAAACGACAGCUGUGACAAGCAAACCAGCCUGGGAUAUUUCAAUAAGACACCUCGUCGGACAGCAAGUCUUACCGCAUUACUCGUUUGUAAGAGAGUUUAAAUCCCAAUAGCCAGGCUUUACACCCAGUAUUUAGAUUUCUAAUUACUCACAGGAUGAACGGCCGGGCAAAUGUCACGCUGCCAGCAGGGGAGGCGUGCGGUGUUUUCCCAAAUAACGCCGCAGAGGUGCGUGCUUUUGUCAGCUGGGCAGGGGCUGGGGAAGACAGGUCCCGGGGCUGCUGAGGGAGGAAAAGAGAUCUUGUUUGUUUUAAGUUUAAUUACAUUUUAAGCAUAAGUGCUUUCAGUGAUACAACAUGAAAAGUCGGAUAUUGGGCUCUAAUGAGUUGUAGUGGUAGAUGGCUGGAGACCCUGAGGGAUUCAUUCACUAAAUUAACUGGAUAAAAGUACUUGGUUUUGGCACGGUAGAUGGCUGAGCUGUGCUCAAA
Long non-coding RNA from Apus apus (common swift), 2064 nucleotides. RefSeq lists it as uncharacterized. The transcript has 6 exons. Lineage: Eukaryota; Metazoa; Chordata; Aves; Apodiformes; Apodidae. The record is from RefSeq and is a predicted model, not a curated record.